GGCUUGCAUAUGAUGACUGCAUAGUUCAGCGGAUAAUCUGUGAUGAUCUUUUGUGUCUUUCGCUCCUAUCUGAUGCAUCCU
This is a small nucleolar RNA of Sphaerodactylus townsendi, 81 nucleotides long. RefSeq annotates it as small nucleolar RNA snR60/Z15/Z230/Z193/J17. The transcript has a single exon. Lineage: Eukaryota; Metazoa; Chordata; Lepidosauria; Squamata; Sphaerodactylidae. The record is from RefSeq and is a predicted model, not a curated record.